Molecule: ribosomal RNA, 917 nt
Filed under: marine metagenome
Description: bacterial SSU rRNA
Rfam family: Bacterial small subunit ribosomal RNA
Source: RNAcentral
AGAGUUUGAUCAUGGCUCAGAACGUACGCUGGCGGCACGCCUAAUACAUGCAAGUCGAACGGGGUAGCAAUACCUAGUGGCAGACGGGUGAGUAACAUGUGGGUACCUUCCCUUUGGUGAGGAAUAACACGAGGAAACUUGUGCUAAUACCUCAUAAGUCUUUACGGAGAAAGCUUUAUGCGCCAAUGGAUGGGCUCGCACUUGAUUAGUUAGUUGGUAAGGUAAUGGCUUACCAAGACUUUGAUCAAUAGCUGAUUUGAGAGGAUGAUCAGCCACAUUGGGACUGAGACACGGCCCAAACUCCUACGGGAGGCAGCAGUAGGGAAUCUUGCACAAUGGAGGAAACUCUGAUGCAGCGAUGCCGCGUGAGUGAAGAAGGCCUUUGGGUUGUAAAGCUCUUUCGUCGGGGAAGAAAAUGACUGUACCCGAAUAAGAAGGUCCGGCUAACUUCGUGCCAGCAGCCGCGGUAAUACGAAGGGACCUAGCGUAGUUCGGAAUUACUGGGCUUAAAGAGUUCGUAGGUGGUUAAAAAAGUUGGUGGUGAAAUCCCAGAGCUUAACUCUGGAACUGCCAUCAAAACUUUUUAGCUAGAGUAUGAUAGAGGAAAGCAGAAUUUCUAGUGUAGAGGUGAAAUUCGUAGAUAUUAGAAAGAAUACCGAUUGCGAAGGCAGCUUUCUGGAUCAUUACUGACACUGAGGAACGAAAGCAUGGGUAGCGAAGAGGAUUAGAUACCCUCGUAGUCCAUGCCGUAAACGAUGUGUGUUAGAUGUUGGAAAUUUAUUUUCAGUAUCGCAGCGAAAGCGUUAAACACACCGCCUGGGGAGUACGACCGCAAGGUUAAAACUCAAAUGAAUUGACGGGGACCCGCACAAGUAGUGGAGCAUGUGGUUUAAUUCGAAGAUACGCGCAGAACCUAC